This 395-nucleotide ribosomal RNA is filed under the name uncultured bacterium. RNAcentral's name for it is "bacterial SSU rRNA". It matches the Rfam family "Bacterial small subunit ribosomal RNA", at positions 28 to 423 of the family's 1533-position model. The record is from RNAcentral.
GACGAACGCUGGCGGCGUGCUUAACACAUGCAAGUCGAGCGCUGAAGCCUUUCGGGGUGGAUGAGCGGCGAACGGGUGAGUAACACGUGGGUGACCUGCCCUCAGCUCUGGGAUAAGCCUGGGAAACUGGGUCUAAUACCGGAUAUGACCUUUCCUCGCAUGGGGUUUGGUGGAAAGUUUUUCGGCGUGGGGAGUGGGCCCGGCCGGCCUAUCAGCUUGUUGGUGGGGUGAUGGCCUACCAAGGCGACGACGGGUAGCCGGCCUGAGAGGGCGUCCGGCCACACUGGGACUGAGACACGGCCCAGACUCCUACGGGAGGCAGCAGUGGGGAAGUAUUGCGCAAUGGGCGGAAGCCUGACGCAGCGACGCCGCGUGGGGGAUGACGGCCUUCGGUU